UAGGGAAUCUUCUGUGUAAUGGGGGCAACCCUGACCGAGCAACGCCGCGUGAGGUUGAAGAAGGUUUUCGGAUCGUAAAGCUCUGUUGUAAGUCAAGAACGAGUGUGAGAGUGGAAAGUUCACACUGUGACGGUAGCUUACCAGAAAGGGACGGCUAACUACGUGCCAGCAGCCGCGGUAAUACGUAGGUCCCGAGCGUUGUCCGGAUUUAUUGGGCGUAAAGCGAGCGCAGGCGGUUUGAUAAGUCUGAAGUUAAAGGCUGUGGCUCAACCAUAGUUCGCUUUGGAAACUGUCAAACUUGAGUGCAGAAGGGGAGAGUGGAAUUCCAUGUGUAGCGGUGAAAUGCGUAGAUAUAUGGAGGAACACCGGUGGCGAAAGCGGCUCUCUGGUCUGUAACUGACGCUGAGGCUCGAAAGCGUGGGGAGCGAACAGGAUUAGAUACCCUGGUAGUCCACGCCGUAAACGAUGAGUGCUAGGUGUUGGAUCCUUUUCCCGGGAUUCAGUGCCGCAGCUAAACGCAUUUAAGCACUCCGCCCUGGGGAGUACGACCCGCAAGGUUG
Molecule: ribosomal RNA, 560 nt
Filed under: uncultured bacterium
Lineage: Bacteria
Description: bacterial SSU rRNA
Rfam family: Bacterial small subunit ribosomal RNA
Source: RNAcentral